RNAcentral lists this ribosomal RNA (253 nucleotides) under uncultured bacterium. RNAcentral describes it as "partial 16S ribosomal RNA". It matches the Rfam family "Bacterial small subunit ribosomal RNA", at positions 99 to 353 of the family's 1533-position model. The record is from RNAcentral.
CGGACGGGUGAGUAAUGUCUGGGAAACUGCCUGAUGGAGGGGGAUAACUACUGGAAACGGUAGCUAAUACCGCAUAACGUCGCAAGACCAAAGAGGGGGACCUUCGGGCCUCCUGCCAUCAGAUGUGCCCAGAUGGGAUUAGCUAGUAGGUGGGGUAACGGCUCACCUAGGCGACGAUCCCUAGCUGGUCUGAGAGGAUGACCAGCCACACUGGAACUGAGACACGGUCCAGACUCCUACGGGAGGCAGCAUG